This 3377-nucleotide unclassified non-coding RNA is filed under the name Leishmania donovani. RNAcentral's name for it is "gene:LdHU3.29.0190(CDS-product:hypothetical_prote in_conserved)". The record is from RNAcentral. Lineage: Eukaryota; Euglenozoa; Kinetoplastea; Trypanosomatida; Trypanosomatidae.
CUGCUUAAGCCGCUCCAACAGCAGGAGCUCUACCAAAAAGGGCGUUUCUUUGUUUUCGCAGUUGGGAGUGGCGCUGGCGCGUCGAAUCACCUCCUCGUUUUCCCCCGGCGCUCGCUGACAUUCUUCUGGUUUUCUUCCACCGACAAAGGCAGCGAUGGAGGCGCCACGCACGUUUUCAUCUCGUGUGAGUCCGUCAUCGUCGCGUCUGCCGAACCCGUCGAAGAGGGGCGGAGCGCCCCUCGUCGGAGCGGCUCGCAGGAUGCCGGGUGUAAGAGGACAGUCAAAGGGGUUGCUAGAGCUGCUGGAGAGAGGUGCUAUCGGCCCGGAAACGGACCUAGAGCCACUGCUCACGACGGACGGGCCCAUGCGGUCGCAUCGGAUGCAGCUGCACAGGGCAGCCGACAAGCGACAGUGCCGCCCACAAAUCAUGACCGAGAACUCUGGCUUCAACGCGGUCCACGACUACAAGCUGGACAUGGAAGAACUUGCUAAAAUCCCUCCCUCCCUGGGCCUGAACGAGCUUCAGGACUGGGAUGUGGCGCAGGCGCAGGAGAGACGUCUGCCGCGUUCCGCCGUGCAUGCUGGGGCGGCUCCGAAAGCCAGCCCCCAGUUGAAGUCUGCUUCAGGCCCGUCUACAUCAUUGGCUGCAGCAGCAGCCAACCCGCUCCAUGCCACUGGUCCCGCGCGAGAGGACACGCGCACCUACACCGAGCUGCUCGACUGGUAUUCGAUGCACGAGUUUAUCAUACGCAAGGGAAAGGCGCUCCGCAACACGCCCGAGUUUGCCUCCUUCAAGCGACACUACGCGUCCAGCUGGGGCGAGGUAGACGGCCUCAUCGAGGUACUGGAGGAGAUGCUGCGGAGCUACGGUGUUGAGCUGGCCUAUGUGGAUGGUAAGCGACUCGCCCAGCUGGCCUCUUAUCAGGCGCCCGACUUAAUCUCCGCGACGGAGACGCUGGAAUGCAUCAACAACGCCGAAGAGGUGCUCCCGCUGCUCAUGGAUGCGUCUCGUCCCUACCGCUACGGCCCCAAGCGCCACCAAGUGGCGGCUACAAAGGUGCAGGCCACGUGGCGCAUGUACCGGCAGCGCAUUGCCUACAUCCACCUGCUGAUCGGCACCCACGCCGCUAUUGCCAUUCAGCGACAGUAUGCCAUGUACCGCGCACACCGCAUGACGCGUCGCACCAUUCGCUCCAUACGCGAAACCCGCAUGACGCAGUGGCAGGAGACGAUGAGGGAAUUCAAGGCUGCGUGGCCGCGCAUUGAGGAGGGCCGCCGCAUCAUCGUACACCUUCCCUCUCUCUCGUAUCCGACGUACCAAGCAAAGAAGAUGCCCUUCUACGAGGCGAGGCAGCUGGGGCAGUUAACGCGGCUGAGCAUGUUAGCGGACCCACAUGUGCAGCUUGUCUUUGUGGUGCCGGUGAAGCCGGAGACGGAGAUUCAACAGUACUACAUGAGUCUGCUUGCCGAGAACGGCGUGUCGAACGUUGCCAGCCGCUUGACGUUCGUGGUGCCCGAGAACGUGCGGCGUCUUCCUGCUGGGAUGAGUCUUACUCGCAUGGUGUUGCUCUCCCCGCGUCUCUUAAAGCUGCUUUCUGCCUUGUGUACCGGCAAGCCAGCCUACAUCUUACCCGGCGUCGUCGGAGAAGAAGAGCUUACGUUGGCCACGCAGCUGAACGUACCAAUGCUGUCGUCAGAGCCGCAUCUGGUGCAGGGUUACGGCUCCAAGAGCGGCUGCAGGCGAUUGCUCGCGGCUGCGGACAUUCUGACACCUCCUGGCGCGGCACAGCUGCGCUCUAGAGCGGACCUCUUGCACUCGUUGGCAGGCCUCGUCGUUGGGCGCCGCGCAGUGCAGCGAUGGCUGGUCAAGCUGGAGAACGAGUUUGGAAGCCAAGGCCACGCAUACCUCGACGUGAACCGCCUCAAUUCUCUGCAGAAUGAGGGCUCGGCGUCUGGCUCCGUCGACGCUGCAUCCUCUGCCGGGCUGCGUGCGGCGGUGUUUCACGAGUUAGAGAUGAACGGAGCGAAGCGCAUGCGGCUCGUGCACCCAAGCAGCUACCCCAACUGGGAGGCGUACCUAGCCAUGUUUGACGCCGUGGGCGGGUGUGUGGAGGCCGUCCUGCCCGGCCUUUGCACCUCCAUCACCGCAAACAUGUUUGUUGCCCCGUCCGGGGAGGUACGGGUAGAGUCGGUAGUGGAGCCGCUUCUGGCCCCAGCCCUCACUUCGAUGGGGUCGCUCUUCCCGUACCGCUCCAGUGUGCCGUACACGGCGGUGCGCGGCGCUUCUCUCAGCCUGGGCCAGGCAGCGUAUCGCAAGCACAUUAUGGGCUACCUGUCUGUCGACUUCGUGGUCACCACCGAAGUCGAUGCCGAGGGCAACGCCUCCUCUCCUCAGACGCGGCUGUGGGGUGUGGACGUAGAUUUUGGGCUCACCACGCAGGCCUCCGCGCAUGCGCUCGCCCGUGUCUUUAGCGGCAGCGUAUGGGACGAGAAGAGCGGCUCCUGCGUGAACCAGAACACCGGCAAGCCACUCGUGUACGUGUACAGCGGCGUACUGUACAAUCCCUACAUCUCCUCCAUCCGACACUCCUCCUUCUUCUCCCUCUGCUGCAACCGAGGGCUGACGUACAAUUGCAACCGUCAGUCGGGGAUCGUCUUCCACUUCCUCAACCUCUUGCUGUGCAACUGCCUCGGUGUGCUGUCAGUCGGCUCUGAGGAGGAACGUGUGGUGCAGCAGAUAACGGAGUUUCAGGCGCUCCUGAACAUGCAGUUCCCCGCCCAAGGUCAACAUUCGGCUGACAGCAACUGCGUAUACUUUUCCUCCCUCGUCCGGCAGCUCUCGCAAUUCUUGACGUGAGAGGACGGUGAGCUCGAGUGGAUAUGGCGGCGGCGCUGUUAGCGGUGCGAUGCGUGUGUGUGUGUGUGCCCGCCGGCUGUGUGCAGAGGGACGGUGAGAAAUGUGUGUCGCACCUCUGCAUACUCUGUCACGUGUGUGCUCCUUUUUUCUUUGCGCGUCUGCACGCCGUCGUGUGCGGGGCGCUGAUGCCUUUGUUUCGCUCUCUUCUGUUCUUUUCUCCUACGAUGUACUGAGUGAAGGUACGCUGUCCUGCCUUUCCCACUCCUCCUCCUGCCUCUCCCCUGCGCCAGCGCCGUUGCAUGGCGCUUUCUCUUCUUCAGACCUUGCGCGUUGUGCCGUCCUGCGUGUGUGCGAACCCUCUCCGUGGCACUCCCUUGACGAUGCGUUUUUCUCCUCUCCCACGCGACCCACGCGCACGGGUGGGGGGUGGGCCCCGCGUGUGUACCCGCCCCCGCCACCUCGGCAGGCGCUUUGGCGUUGCGCACGCCGAGUCGAGUGCAGCGCAGUCAAAAGACACGAC